UUAAGGGCAAAAUUGUUCACAAUCUAUUGUUGGUCCACAACAAAGUGUGUCACAUAUAAGAAGUAUCUCUGGGUGUAAUAGAAAUUUAAUGUCUCUUAGUGUAAAGUUACACUUUUAUAUGAUUUAUCGGCUGGAUCAAUCGGUUUGGAAGAAAUCUAUCCACAUGUGCAUUUUUUAAAGUUUAUGGGACCCAUGUUCGGUUUAGUUUGGUUAUCAAGUCUUCGCGUUUGGUUUAAUAAUUUAGUUCCUUUGGUUCAUUAUUUCAGUUUCAGUCAUAUGUUUGGUGUUAUAUAACAAAACUCUGCGUUUUGAGUUGGCGUAGAUUAAUUAGGGUUUCAUUGUUAUGGUUGUUCGACUAUUCAACCUCGCCGCACCGUUAAUCUUAAGUCUCCAAACACAAAGAUUCCUUUCCGUUUCCUUCCUAUACAUCAAACCUACAAGUUGGAGCUCCUGCUUCUUGACGACCCUCCAGAUUAAGGGCAAACGCAAAGCAUCUUCGCUUGCUGAGGAUUCCAUCAAGUCUGCUCUCGAAAACUACAAAAAGAAGAAAGCAAUUGCUGAUGCAGCCGUGGCUUGAUUCUACUGAUGAUGGUUAUGAUUAAUUUCAUCUUUAAAAAAAAAAAAUUGUUGUGUUUGUGUGUGUCUUCCUUCUGUUUGCUUCCAGCAAGUAGCUCAUGAUGUUUAUUACCUAUUAUUGAAUUUGCGCUUUUUCUUUUGUGUGGAAACUUUGCAGUUUCAUUUCAUCACAUGACUAAACAUUUAGAGAAUAAUAUAUAUACAAAGUAUCUGGUUAGCCUGA
Long non-coding RNA from Brassica napus (rape), 799 nucleotides. RefSeq lists it as uncharacterized. Lineage: Eukaryota; Viridiplantae; Streptophyta; Magnoliopsida; Brassicales; Brassicaceae. The transcript has 2 exons. The record is from RefSeq and is a predicted model, not a curated record.